RNAcentral lists this ribosomal RNA (494 nucleotides) under Parnassius stoliczkanus. Its description in RNAcentral is "partial 16S ribosomal RNA". Lineage: Eukaryota; Metazoa; Arthropoda; Insecta; Lepidoptera; Papilionidae. The record is from RNAcentral.
GUCUUUUUGAUUAAUAAUUUAAAGUCUAAUCUGCCCACUGAUGAAAUAUUAAAGGGCUGCAGUAUUUUGACUGUACAAAGGUAGCAUAAUCAAUAGUCUCUUAAUUGGUGACUUGUAUGAAAGAUUUAAUGAGAUAUAUACUGUCUCUUUUUAAUUUAUAAAAUUUAAUUUUUUAGUUAAAAAGCUAAAAUAUAUUUAAAAGACGAGAAGACCCUAUAGAGUUUGAUAUUUAAUUAAAUUAAAAUUAUUUAUAAAAUUUAAAAUUUUAAUUUAAUUAAAUAUUUUGUUGGGGUGAUAAAAAAAUUAAAAGAACUUUUUUUAUAAUUUUACAUUAAUAAGUGAAUAAAUGAUCCGUAAUUUACGAUUAAAAGAAAAAAUUACCUUAGGGAUAACAGCGUAAUUUUUUUUUUUAGUUCAAAUAAGAAAAAAAGUUUGCGACCUCGAUGUUGGAUUAAGAUAAAAUUUAAAUGCAAAAGUUUAAAAUUUUUGAUCUG